UACGGGGGGAGCAAGCGUUGUUCGGAUUUACUGGGCGUAAAGGGCGCGUAGGCGGCCACUGCAAGUCGGUUGUGAAAUCUCCGGGCUUAACCCGGAAAGGUCAAUCGAUACUGCAGGGCUAGAGUGCAGAAGGGGCAACUGGAAUUCUCGGUGUAGCGGUGAAAUGCGUAGAUAUCGAGAGGAACACCUGCGGCGAAGGCGGGUUGCUGGGCUGACACUGACGCUGAUGCGCGAAAGCCAGGGGAGCGAACGGG
This 254-nucleotide ribosomal RNA is filed under the name uncultured bacterium. RNAcentral describes it as "partial 16S ribosomal RNA". It matches the Rfam family "Bacterial small subunit ribosomal RNA", at positions 524 to 776 of the family's 1533-position model. The record is from RNAcentral.